GAGGUUUGCAUCGGCUGACCUUGGGUAAGGAUGGAAGAAAGGCAUUUUGGGAUCCUUUGUCACCGACAGCGGCGAUGACGUACCUAUAUAUAAACUUUCUCAUAUAUACAAGGCAUUUGAUGACCCAAAUAAGACCAUCAUGAUCAAUUGUGGUCCUCAUCUUUUGAUAAUCUAAUCUCUAAUGAUCUAUCUAGCAUCAUUAUGUGAAGUAUCAU
This 215-nucleotide long non-coding RNA is filed under the name Elaeis guineensis (African oil palm). RNAcentral's name for it is "long non-coding RNA (EGUI_LNC007229)". Lineage: Eukaryota; Viridiplantae; Streptophyta; Magnoliopsida; Arecales; Arecaceae. The record is from RNAcentral.